This 253-nucleotide ribosomal RNA is filed under the name uncultured bacterium. RNAcentral's name for it is "partial 16S ribosomal RNA". It matches the Rfam family "Bacterial small subunit ribosomal RNA", at positions 524 to 776 of the family's 1533-position model. The record is from RNAcentral.
UACGUAGGGUGCAAGCGUUACUCGGAUUUAUUGGGCGUAAAGCGCAUGUAGGUUGUUUCGUAAGUCUGAUGUGAAAUCCCUGGACUCAAUUCAGGAACUGCAUUGGAUACUGCGAGACUAGAGUAUGGGAGAGGUAGGCGGAAUUCCUGGUGUAGAGGUGAAAUUCGUAGAUAUCAGGAGGAACAACAGAGGCGAAGGCGGCUUACUGGACCAUAACUGACACUCAGAUGAGACAGUGUGGGGAGCAAACAGG